Molecule: transfer RNA, 67 nt
Filed under: Marmota monax (woodchuck)
Lineage: Eukaryota; Metazoa; Chordata; Mammalia; Rodentia; Sciuridae
Description: tRNA.Ala
Source: RNAcentral
GGUUGUAGCUCAGUGGUAGAGCACUUGCCUAGCAUGUGUGAAGCACUGGGUUUGAUCCUCAGCACCA